UGGGGAAUAUUGGACAAUGGACCAAGAGUCUGAUCCAGCAAUUCUGUGUGCACGAUGACGUUUUUCGGAAUGUAAAGUGCUUUCAGUUGGGAAGAAAAAAAUGACGGUACCAACAGAAGAAGUGACGGCUAAAUACGUGCCAGCAGCCGUGGUAAUACGUAUGUCACAAGCGUUAUCCGGAUUUAUUGGGCGUAAAGCGCGUCUAGGUGGUUAUGUAAGUCUGAUGUGAAAAUGCAGGGCUCAACUCUGUAUUGCGUUGGAAACUGUGUAACUAGAGUACUGGAGAGGUAAGCGGAACUACAAGUGUAGAGGUGAAAUUCGUAGAUAUUUGUAGGAAUGCCGAUGGGGAAGCCAGCUUACUGGACAGAUACUGACGCUGAAGCGCGAAAGCGUGGGUAGCAAACAGGAUUAGAUACCCUGGUAGUCCACGCCGUAAACGAUGAUUACUAGGUGUUGGGGGUCGAACCUCAGCGCCCAAGCAAACGCGAUAAGUAAUCCGCCUGGGGAGUACGUACGCAAGUAUG
RNAcentral lists this ribosomal RNA (524 nucleotides) under uncultured bacterium. RNAcentral describes it as "bacterial SSU rRNA". It matches the Rfam family "Bacterial small subunit ribosomal RNA", at positions 355 to 896 of the family's 1533-position model. The record is from RNAcentral.